AAUAUCACUGACGAAUUUCAUUUUACAACAGAAUUGGAAAAUUCAGCUACAGUAACUAAACGAGUUAUUCUGUCGGUUGUUUCCCAGAUCUAUGAUCCCUUAGGUCUGUUAUCUCCGAGUAUAAUCAUUGCUAAAAUUCUCCUACAAAGGUUAUGGUUGCAAAAAAUUGAUUGGGAUGAUCCAGUUCCUGACGAUAUUGUGAUCAUGUGGAAUCGCUUUAUUAAUUCUAUUACAGAGACAUUAAACUUAUUACGAAUUCCGCGUUACGUCAUGAGUGAAGGGACGCUGCGUUGUGAACUUCAUAUUUUUGCAGACGCUUCACAGGAUGCAUACGGCGCCUGUGCUUAUAUAAAAACGUAUGACGAGUCUUCACGCAACACUGUUCAAUUAUUGUGUUCCAAAGGUAAAGUUGCCCCAGUUAAAACUAUUACAAUACCGCGGCUUGAGUUGUGCGCAGCACUUUUAGGUGCCAAGUUGUAUAAAAAGAUUACAGUUUCACUCAGAUUAAAAUUUAAUAAGACAUAUUUCUGGACGGAUUCAACAAUAGUGUUGGGUUGGAUUAAAAUGUCACCUCGUAUGCUUAAAACUUUCGUACAAAAUCGUGUCACACAAAUAAACGAACUGACAGGCGAUGCGCUAUGGUGCCAUGUCAGCAGCAAAGACAACCCGGCGGAUUAUGUGUCUAGAGGUUUAUAUUUGGAAGAGUUACAUAAAUGCAAAACUUGGUGGCACGGACCAGAGUUUAUAGCUGCCGAUAAUUUAAAUUAUACCACUAAUGUAAUUUUAAAUGAUACCUUAUUACCUGAAGUAAAAUCUCAGUCUCAUAUUGCUACAAAUAUCAUGACAAAUGAUUUUAACGGUGAAUUAUUUGAUUUUAACAGAUUUUCUUCAUUUAACCGAAUGCGACGCACUGCAGCAUACAUUCUGCGAUUUAUCUAUAAUAUGCGCGUGGCUAAUAAACAACUGCGUAAAACCGGUUUGUUGUCAGCUGAUGAAUUGAGCCAAUCAGAGCUUUUUUUAACGCGGUUCGCUCAAGUGCAGUCAUUUGGUAACAAUUAUGAUACACAAAAAAAACAUCGUUCGGGUAAAUUGUCAGGACUCAACGUGUUUGUAGACGCUAACAAUAUUUUGAGAGUUGGUGGUAGAUUAAAUAAUUCAAGUUUCGAUUACGAUAAAAAACAUCCCGUGUUAUUGUGCGGUAAACAUAGAUUUACAUCGUUAUUAUUUAGAUCGGAACAUAAGCGAUUAUUGCAUGCGGGACCUCAGCUUCUCUUAUCUAACAUUCGUGAGUGUUGGUGGCCAUUAGGUGGUAGAAAUCUAGGAAGAAAAACGGUACAUCAAUGUGUGACGUGUUCUCGCUUAAAGAGCGUUACUUUAAAGCCCAUUAUGGGUGAUUUGCCGGCCAAACGGCUUGAAGAGGGUUUUCCAUUUAAAUUCUGCGGCGUGGACUAUGCUGGUCCGGUUAUGAUUUUAACUCGAAAAGGCAGGGGAGCUAAAUUAAUAAAAGGUUAUAUUUGUUUAUUUGUUUGUUUUUGUACACGCGCUAUACAUUUAGAACUGGUCACUAGUUUAUCGACAGACGAUUACAUACUCGCAUUAAAGAGAUUUAUAUCUAGACGUGGUAAGCCAGCAGAGAUAUUUUCUGACAAUGGCAAGAAUUUCGUAGGCGCUGAAAGGCAAUUCCAAACAUUUUUAACUGAAAAUAUGGAAGGUAUAGUCGAUUAUGCAGCGGGCAAUGGGAUGAAAUUUAGUUUUAUUCCUCCUUACUCUCCUCAUUUCGUUGGUCUGUGGGAAGCGGGAGUAAAAUCUUGCAAGUACCACUUGAAACGUGUCGUAGGUAAUUGUAACCUAACUUAUGAAGAAUUUAGCACGGUAUUGGCACAAAUUGAAGCUGUCCUAAAUUCCCGUCCUAUAUCCGUUUUAUCCUCAGAUCCUAACGACGCGCUCCCUCUUACACCAGCUCACUUCCUGGUCGGUCGCCCCUUACUGCGCCCACACAAGGAGACCUCACAAAUACCCGAGUCACACUCUGUUGCGAUACGACCGCAUAGAAAAGAUAAGACAGCAUUUUUGGCAGAGAUGGGCUAAGGAGUAUGUGUCGGAACUUCAAAGUCGGUCCAAAUGGAAAUCCAACAUUAGCGAGCUGGCAGUUGAUACAAUAGUACUGGUCAAAGAGGACAACGUCCCCCCAUUAUCGUGGAAGCUGGCACGAGUUAUACAAGUGUAUCCGGGGAAGGACGGUGUGUCACGAGUGGCAGAUCUUCGGACCUCAUCAGGCGUGAUUCGGCGUGCAUUCUCGAAGAUUUGUCCGCUGCCUAUCACAUCACAAUGAGGAAGCGAUUCGCAUAUUUUAUCACUGAAGAUAA
Molecule: RNA transcript, 2366 nt
Organism: Manduca sexta (tobacco hornworm)
Lineage: Eukaryota; Metazoa; Arthropoda; Insecta; Lepidoptera; Sphingidae
Exons: 1
Source: RefSeq, a predicted model, not a curated record